UAAACUCAAUUUCUUGGGGGUUUUUUUUUUGAGUAUUCAGUCCCUGCCCAAGUGAUUUUAAGUGCCUCUAAGUCACUGCCAGACUUGAUUCAGUUCUUCUCAGACUUGAUCUUCUCCCAUGCUAUUUGUUUACGACAAGCCUGUUUCAGCCUCACACGUUCGCUCUGCCUGAAACAUUCUCAACUCUUAGCACAGUUAACUCCCACUCAUCUUCUGGAUCUCAGCUGAAAAGUUACAUCUUCAAGGAAUUUUUUCUACCCUCUAGCAAUGCCUGGUGAUUUCUACCUGCUUGGAACAUUCCACGGGUUUAUCCCAUGCUGAGGAGACUUUUAGGAACUGCAUGAACUCCACAGGGCAUUGAUGCGUAACUGAACCCUGGACGGGCCAAUCAAGACUCACAAGGAGUGGGUUUCAGGAAACCAAGAUGAUGUGUCCUCAGCCACCUGAAAAAAUACGCAGAAACUCAGGUUACAUCUGGAAUUCAUUCCGUGUUUUCUCUGUCCGUUCCUGAUCAGUUUUCUCACCGCCGUCUCCAAGAAAAUUAGGCGAUCUGGAAAUAGGUGUGCAGUGAACUGGGACAUUUUUGGAAAUCAAGGAAAAGCAGCAAUAGGGGAAGAGAUGGCAUCUUUGUUCUUGAUGGUCUUGCUCUGUAUGCUAUAGACCGAUGCUGCCUGAGAGAACAAGUGACCGAGAGGAGCAGAUGACUACCAGGCUCUAGAUACCUGGAAUCCAGAAAU
Molecule: long non-coding RNA, 737 nt
Filed under: Equus caballus (horse)
Lineage: Eukaryota; Metazoa; Chordata; Mammalia; Perissodactyla; Equidae
Description: lncRNA (ENSECAG00000050686.1)
Source: RNAcentral